RNAcentral lists this ribosomal RNA (406 nucleotides) under uncultured bacterium. RNAcentral's name for it is "partial 16S ribosomal RNA". It matches the Rfam family "Bacterial small subunit ribosomal RNA", at positions 30 to 526 of the family's 1533-position model. The record is from RNAcentral.
AUUGAACGCUGGCGGCAGGCCUAACACAUGCAAGUCGAACGCGUGGCGGACGGGUGAGUAAUGUCUGGGAAACUGCCUGAUGGAGGGGGAUAACUACUGGAAACGGUAGCUAAUACCGCAUACCAUCAGAUGUGCCCAUAGGGGAUUAGCUAGUUGGUGGGGUAAAGGCUCACCAAGGCGACGAUCCCUAGCUGGUCUGAGAGGAUGACCAUGCACACGGGAACUGAGACACGGUGCAGACUCCUACGGGAGGCAGCAGUGGGGAAUAUUGCAAAAUGGGCGCAAGCCGGAUGCAGCCAUGCCGCGUGUAUGAAGAAGGCAUUAGGGUUGUAAAGUACUUUCAGCGGGGAGGCGUUACCCGCAGAAGAAGCACCGGCUAACUCCGUGCCAGCAGCCGCGGUAAUAC